This 404-nucleotide ribosomal RNA is filed under the name uncultured bacterium. RNAcentral's name for it is "bacterial SSU rRNA". It matches the Rfam family "Bacterial small subunit ribosomal RNA", at positions 355 to 776 of the family's 1533-position model. The record is from RNAcentral.
UGGGGAAUUUUCCGCAAUGGGCGAAAGCCUGAUCCAGCCAUGCCGCGUGAGUGAUGAAGGCCCUAGGGUUGUAAAACUCUUUCGCCAGGGAAGAUAAUGACGGUACCUGGUAAAGAAACCCCGGCUAACUCCGUGCCAGCAGCCGCGGUAAUACGGAGGGGGUUAGCGUUGUUCGGAAUUACUGGGCGUAAAGCGCACGUAGGCGGACUAGUCAGUCAGAGGUGAAAUCCCGAGGCUCAACCUCGGAACUGCCUUUGAUACUGCUAGUCUAGAGUUCGAGAGAGGUGAGUGGAAUUCCGAGUGUAGAGGUGAAAUUCGUAGAUAUUCGGAGGAACACCAGUGGCGAAGGCGGCUCACUGGAUCGAUACUGACGCUGAGGUGCGAAAGCGUGGGGAGCAAACAGG